RNAcentral lists this ribosomal RNA (496 nucleotides) under uncultured bacterium. RNAcentral's name for it is "partial 16S ribosomal RNA". It matches the Rfam family "Bacterial small subunit ribosomal RNA", at positions 29 to 507 of the family's 1533-position model. The record is from RNAcentral.
AUGAACGCUGGCGGCGUGCCUAAUACAUGCAAGUCGAGCGAACAGACGAGGAGCUUGCUCCUCUGACGUUAGCGGCGGACGGGUGAGUAACACGUGGAUAACCUACCUAUAAGACUGGGAUAACUUCGGGAAACCGGAGCUAAUACCGGAUAAUAUAUUGAGCCGCAUGGUUCAAUAGUGAAAGACGGUUUUGCUGUCACUUAUAGAUGGAUCCGCGCCGCAUUAGCUAGUUGGUAAGGUAACGGCUUACCAAGGCAACGAUGCGUAGCCGACCUGAGAGGGUGAUCGGCCACACUGGAACUGAGACACGGUCCAGACUCCUACGGGAGGCAGCAGUAGGGAAUCUUCCGCAAAGGGCGAAAGCCUGACGGAGCAACGCCGCGUGAGUGAUGAAGGUCUUCGGAUCGUAAAACUCUGUUAUUAGGGAAGAACAAAUGUGUAAGUAACUAUGCACGUCUUGACGGUACCUAAUCAGAAAGCCACGGCUAACUACGUG